AGAGUUUGAUCCUGGCUCAGGAUGAACGCUGGCGGCGUGCCUAACACAUGCAAGCCGAACGAAGUUACACAGAGGAAGUUUUCGGAUGGAAUCAGUAUAACUUAGUGGCGGACGGGUGAGUAACGCGUGGGAAACCUGCCCUGUACCGGGGGAUAACACUUAGAAAUAGGUGCUAAUACCGCAUAAGCGCACGGAACCGCAUGGUUCCGUGUGAAAAACUCCGGUGGUACAGGAUGGUCCCGCGUCUGAUUAGCCAGUUGGCAGGGUAACGGCCUACCAAAGCGACGAUCAGUAGCCGGCCUGAGAGGGUGAACGGCCACAUUGGGACUGAGACACGGCCCAAACUCCUACGGGAGGCAGCAGUGGGGAAUAUUGCACAAUGGGGGAAACCCUGAUGCAGCGACGCCGCGUGAGUGAAGAAGUAUUUCGGUAUGUAAAGCUCUAUCAGCAGGGAAGAAAAUGACGGUACCUGACUAAGAAGCCCCGGCUAACUACGUGCCAGCAGCCGCGGUAAUACGUAGGGGGCAAGCGUUAUCCGGAUUUACUGGGUGUAAAGGGAGCGUAGACGGCAUGGCAAGCCAGAUGUGAAAACCCAGGGCUCAACCUUGGGAUUGCAUUUGGAACUGCCAGGCUGGAGUGCAGGAGAGGUAAGCGGAAUUCCUAGUGUAGCGGUGAAAUGCGUAGAUAUUAGGAGGAACACCAGUGGCGAAGGCGGCUUACUGGACUGUAACUGACGCUGAGGUGCGAAAGCUGGGGGAGCGAACAGGAUUAGAUACCCUGGUAGUCCCAGCCGUAAACGAUGGACGCUAGGUGUGGGGGGACGAUCCCCCCGUGCCGCAGCCAACGCAUUAAGCGUCCCGCCUGGGGAGUACGGCCGCAAGGCUAAAACUCAAAGGAAUUGACGGCGGCCCGCACAAGCAGCGGAGCAUGUGGCUUAAUUCGAAGCAACGCGAAGAACCUUACCAGGGCUUGACAUAUGGGUGAAGCGGGGGAGACCCCGUGGCCGAGAGGAGCCCAUACAGGUGGUGCAUGGCUGUCGUCAGCUCGUGUCGUGAGAUGUUGGGUUAAGUCCCGCAACGAGCGCAACCCCUGUUGCCAGUUGCCAGCAUUAAGUUGGGGACUCUGGCGAGACUGCCGGUGACAAGCCGGAGGAAGGCGGGGAUGACGUCAAAUCAUCAUGCCCCUUAUGACCUGGGCUACACACGUGCUACAAUGGACAGAGCAGAGGGAAGCGAAGCCGCGAGGUGGAGCGAAACCCAUAAAACUGUUCUCAGUUCGGACUGCAGUCUGCAACUCGACUGCACGAAGAUGGAAUCGCUAGUAAUCGCGAAUCAGCAUGUCGCGGUGAAUACGUUCUCGGGCCUUGCACACACCGCCCGUCA
Molecule: ribosomal RNA, 1382 nt
Filed under: uncultured bacterium
Lineage: Bacteria
Description: bacterial SSU rRNA
Rfam family: Bacterial small subunit ribosomal RNA
Source: RNAcentral